RNAcentral lists this ribosomal RNA (3003 nucleotides) under Triticum aestivum (bread wheat). RNAcentral describes it as "partial small subunit ribosomal RNA". The record is from RNAcentral. Lineage: Eukaryota; Viridiplantae; Streptophyta; Magnoliopsida; Poales; Poaceae.
AUGGAGGAGUUGGCCUUGGAGCAAGCAAGCAAGCCGGGGGUGUGUUCCUCGGUCAGUUCAGACUCCAAGUGCGGUUCAGCAUUGCGCGCAUACCUCGCCAUCGGCACGACUCUGCCCGCCCCUCUGUCUGAGCUCCCCAAAUUCUCCAUCUGCGGCACCCCGCCCAAAUUGAGCUCCCAGGUUGCGGCCCCGCUCGAAUCAAUGUUGUCGGAGAGGGUCCGCCGGAGAAGAGGAAGAAUGGGGAAAGGGGAAAAGCAAUGGGCGGCGGCGGGCGGACGGGCACGGGCGGAAUCUCUUCUAGCUGCGAAGAGUAUGGUCGGUACUUUGAUUAAAGACAUUUGUGGCUACUGGUCCAUGUGGUUUAAAAGGGAAAGCACGAGCCAAGCGCACCUGCUCGGUGGUGUCCGUGGCGACGUGCAGUUCAUCAAGGACGAGAUGGAGAGCAUGAACGGCUUCCUCCUGCACGUGGCGGAGGCCGAUGAGGCCGGCGAGGAGGACCACCAAGUCGGAGCUUGGAUGAAGCAAGUCGCGGAGGUCGCCUAUGCCUCCCAGAACAGCAUCGAUCGGUACAUCCAGAGCAUCGGCGCCAGCCGCAGGGAGCCAGGCCUCCUAGGCUACCUGGGGCGGCUGCCCAAGUUGGUGUGGACGUUGCCGACGCGUCACCGCAUCGCCAAUCAGAUCCGGAAGCUCAAGAUCCGGUCGUGCGAGGUGGGGGAGAGGCGCAUGAGGUAUGACGUUAAAGUGCCCGAGCUCGACGGAGACCGUUCAAAGGACAGGACCAUGCAUGGCAGUGUCGAGCAAAACAAUCUUAAAGUCCUAGCAAUUGUAGGAAUGGGUGGCUUAGGCAAAACUACUCUGGCUCGGAGAGCUUGGCAGAGUGUGGUAAGCUCAUUUGACUGCAAGGCUUGGAUCUGCGUAUCCGAUUCAAGUUCAGAUUUCAUGUUUUUCCGGGAGGUCCUAGAAGCACUGGCCAGUCCAUCAGAUCAAUUCGAUUUGGAUGGCAAGGAGGAAGAGCUUAUGGCACAGCUUCAGCUGCACCUGAAAGGUAAAAGAUUCUUGCUUGUGUUUGAUGAUAUCUGGGAAAGAUCUCUAUGGAAUCGCAUCAAAUCUGCUUUCCCCCAUGAGAAUUGCUCUGCUGGUAGUGCCAUACUGAUUACCACGCGUUCGAUUGAUGUGGCCCACUCAUUUUCUCCCAAUGAAAACUUAGAUUUGGACACUGAUAGUUAUUUCUAUUUGUGCAACGCAAUGGCCCUAAUGAACAGCAACGACCAAAGCACUUAUCUGCGGCCUCUUUUACGGGAAAUUGUCUCAAAACCUUUGCCAAUCAGGUUGUUUCUACGUGCUCUCUAUGUCAAUCCUAAUAAGACCAAAGGUGAUUUGCAGAAUCUGUGUGACAGCCUGGACAGCUCCAAAACAUCAAUAACAAACAAUGUAAGGCAACUACUCACGUUCUGUAAUCUGAGUAGCAACUGCAAGAAUUGUUUGCUAUAUAUGUCUAUUUUCCCCGAAGAUACAAUCUUUGAGCGGACAAGAUUGGUAAGAAGAUGGGCCGUUGAAGGCAUGACUACUAAAAGAGGCAGACUAAGUGCACUGCAUGAAGCUGACCACUGCUUUGAUCUGCUUGUCGCCCACGGGCUUCUUAUACCAAUGGACAUGGCUGUUACAGGAAAGGUGAAGAGCUGUAAAAUGCAUCAGAUCAUCCAUGACAUUGUUACAGAGAUUGCAACAGAUGAUAAUUUUGUAAAGAGCAGCCAUCAGCCAGACUUGGCUCAUCGCCUUUCUAUUCACUAUGAAGUCCAACCACAGCAAGCUGAGAAGGAGCAAUAUGCAACUUGUUCCAUAGCCUGUUGGGAUAUUUGUCGCCAUUCCAGUCCAAGUGACAAAACAACAGUUGAACAGUCCAAUGCCACGGCCACUCAAGAGUUUUUGGAGUCCCUUCCUUCGUCGACUCACUUGGGGGUUCUGAAGGUGCUUGAUCUAGAAAACUGCAACGAAUUGAAGGACCACCAUCUGAAAAACAUUUGCAACCAUGUAUUCCACCUCAAGUACUUGAGCCUUCGGAAAACUGGCAUUACUCAACUACCCAAGCAGCUUGACAAGCUUCAGUUCCUAGAGACCUUGGACAUUCGUGAAACAGAAGUAAAAGCAUUCGCCAAAAAUUCCCUUUUUCUGCCAAAGCUAAAGCAUCUACUUGCUGGCCAGUGGACUGAUGACACAACCCAAGGUAGCGUCCAAUCUAAAGAGACGUUUCUCACCGUGUCGCUGCCCAAACGUAUCGGGAACAUGACAGAACUGCAGGUGCUAUCUCAUAUUGCAGUUUCUGGCAAAGGCGAUGAAAUAAUUGAUGUUGGCAACCUACUCCAGUUGGUUAAGUUGGGUGUGGUUCUCUCUGGGAGCAAGAGAUCAGUCUUCUGGCAUUUGUACCAUGCAAUUGGAAAGCUUAGAAAAUGUCUUCGCUCACUGUCAAUCCGUGUCACAGAACUGACAAGCAACGAAGAGGAUGACAACAUGAACAUUGAAGAAGCACCCCUCAUACAUCCCAAGUAUCUUCAGAAGCUAAAAAUCAGUGGCCUGAAAUAUGGAUUGCCCUCAUGGAUUAAAAAGCUCGAUGUCCUUACCAAAAUAACCCUCCAUAUGACUUUCAUAACGGAUGAUGACUUCAAAAUCCUCGGAGAGCUUAAAAGCUUGUCCUGCCUUAGGCUCCAACGAGAGUCAUGCAAUGAAAGCACACUCACCUUCAAAAAAGAUGCAUUUCAAAGUCUCAAGUUCCUGGAUAUUGAGUGCUCAGCCAUUACCAGUAUCAAAUUUGUCAAAGAGGCAUCUCCUAUGCUGAAGAAGUUAGUUUGGUCUUCUACUCGUGAACAGUCUCUUUCUGGGAUUGAGGACCUUCCAAGUUUCCGAGAGCUCAAGUUGACAGGCAUCUUUGACUUGCAAAGUGUGGAACAAGCAAUUGCAGCAAACAAGAACAAGCCUAUCUUGGUAGCAGACCGAAUAAAUGCUUAG